UACGAAGGGGGCUAGCGUUGCUCGGAAUCACUGGGCGUAAAGCGCACGUAGGCGGAUUGCUAAGUCAGGGGUGAAAUCCUGGAGCUCAACUCCAGAACUGCCCUUGAUACUGGCGGUCUCGAGUCCGGGAGAGGUGAGCGGAACUGCGAGUGUAGAGGUGAAAUUCGUAGAUAUUCGCAAGAACACCAGUGGCGAAGGCGGCUCACUGGCCCGGUACUGACGCUGAGGUGCGAAAGCGUGGGGAGCAAACAGG
RNAcentral lists this ribosomal RNA (253 nucleotides) under uncultured bacterium. RNAcentral describes it as "partial 16S ribosomal RNA". It matches the Rfam family "Bacterial small subunit ribosomal RNA", at positions 524 to 776 of the family's 1533-position model. The record is from RNAcentral.